This 465-nucleotide ribosomal RNA is filed under the name uncultured Klebsiella sp. Its description in RNAcentral is "bacterial SSU rRNA". It matches the Rfam family "Bacterial small subunit ribosomal RNA", at positions 338 to 795 of the family's 1533-position model. Lineage: Bacteria; Pseudomonadati; Pseudomonadota; Gammaproteobacteria; Enterobacterales; Enterobacteriaceae. The record is from RNAcentral.
CCUACGGGUGGCAGCAGUGGGGAAUAUUGCACAAUGGGCGCAAGCCUGAUGCAGCCAUGCCGCGUGUGUGAAGAAGGCCUCCGGGUUGUAAAGCACUUUCAGCGGGGAGGAAGGCGUUAAGGUUAAUAACCUUGGCGAUUGACGUUACCCGCAGAAGAAGCACCGGCUAACUCCGUGCCAGCAGCCGCGGUAAUACGGAGGGUGCAAGCGUUAAUCGGAAUUACUGGGCGUAAAGCGCACGCAGGCGGUCUGUCAAGUCGGAUGUGAAAUCCCCGGGCUCAACCUGGGAACUGCAUUCGAAACUGGCAGGCUAGAGUCUUGUAGAGGGGGGUAGAAUUCCAGGUGUAGCGGUGAAAUGCGUAGAGAUCUGGAGGAAUACCGGUGGCGAAGGCGGCCCCCUGGACAAAGACCGACGCUCAGGUGCGAAAGCGUGGGGAGCAAACAGGAUUAGAUACCCGAGUAGUC